UGGGGAAUUGUUCGCAAUGGGCGCAAGCCUGACGACGCAACGCCGCGUGGAGGAUGAAGGUCUUCGGAUUGUAAACUCCUGUUGCCCGGGACGAACGGCUCCAGUCUAAUACGCUGGAGUUUGACGGUACCGGGUGAGGAAGCCCCGGCUAACUCUGUG
Molecule: ribosomal RNA, 159 nt
Filed under: uncultured bacterium
Lineage: Bacteria
Description: partial 16S ribosomal RNA
Rfam family: Bacterial small subunit ribosomal RNA
Source: RNAcentral